UUAAAAUGGUUUAGUUAGGUAUACUAUUAACUCAUGGUUUGAUUGGUAAUUUUUAACCGCCUCGUCUGUAACCGAAACGCUUUGAAAGUUAUCAAUAAAUAAAGCGAUUAAAAGAAGCGGUUGGAAUAAGUAGAUUGUUGUAGAGAGAUGUUGGGAGAGAAAAAAAAAUAAGACGGUUGGAUUUGUUUUUUAUUUA
RNAcentral lists this small RNA (196 nucleotides) under Arabidopsis thaliana (thale cress). Its description in RNAcentral is "ATSL023380". Lineage: Eukaryota; Viridiplantae; Streptophyta; Magnoliopsida; Brassicales; Brassicaceae. The record is from RNAcentral.